This 461-nucleotide long non-coding RNA is filed under the name Felis catus (domestic cat). RNAcentral's name for it is "lncRNA (ENSFCAG00000047530.1)". Lineage: Eukaryota; Metazoa; Chordata; Mammalia; Carnivora; Felidae. The record is from RNAcentral.
GCAUUUAGUAGGUUGAGAUUCUGCUUUAUGUAACAGAGAAGUAAAAAUGAACAGUGGUUUAUGCAAGAUAGUUUAUUUCUCAUUUUCCUUCAUGUAGAGAAAGGCCAGAGACAGGUGCACCAGGGCUGGUAGUACGACUCUGCUCUACAUUGACUUGAAGGAUCUACACUGUGGCCUUUGUCCAAGUUGGCUUCCACAACCCAGAUGGCAGGAUGAAGGAACAUAGAAGUUGGGGAAGGCCAUGUGACAGAUGCCUGUUAAGGAGGAAGCUGCUUACUCUGGAGCAUGUUCACUUCUGUUGAAAUGUUGCUGUUGAAAGCUGCAUGUAGAUCUUUUGAGAGGCCACACGCUUGAGUCUCUAUUUUUAAAUUUUCAUGACAGCUUUUACACUCUCCUGAGCAUGCAGGAUCUAAGUUUCUACUGAAGCGUGUAAUUACCAGCAAUGACUUAGCACCCGCCAU